CACGUAGGGGGCAAGCGUUGUCCGGAUUCAUUGGGCGUAAAGAGCUCGUAGGCGGUUCGAUAAGUCGGGUGUGAAACCUCCAGGCUCAACCUGGAGACGCCACCCGAUACUGUCGUGACUAGAGUCCAGUAGGGGAGAGUGGAAUUCCUGGUGUAGCGGUGAAAUGCGCAGAUAUCAGGAGGAACACCAGCGGCGAAGGCGGCGCUCUGGGCUGGAACUGACGCUGAGGAGCGAAAGCGUGGGGAGCGAACAGG
This 254-nucleotide ribosomal RNA is filed under the name uncultured bacterium. RNAcentral's name for it is "partial 16S ribosomal RNA". It matches the Rfam family "Bacterial small subunit ribosomal RNA", at positions 524 to 776 of the family's 1533-position model. The record is from RNAcentral.